AUGUAUACUGAUGGUAGCAAGAGUAACAAUACAGUCUAUAAUGAUAUGUCAACAGAAGGGAAAUCCAUAAGGCUUGAUCAACCAUUAACAAGCAAUCCUAAUGUGGGAGGUUUUGGUCAGGGGGACGCAGAAAUCGUGCUUCAGGAUCCAUUACGUGUCCAAGGCCUUUUGUUCUUCUUCGCAUCCAUUAUUUUGGCACUUUUGUUGGUUCUCAAAAAGAAACAGUUUGAAAAGGUUCAAUUACAAAAUGAAUUUCUAGGUCCCGGGAUUUCUUACCAUCAAGUUGGUAAAAAGCCUCGAUUUAUUGGCAAUUGCUAUAAUUAUCUAUGA
This 330-nucleotide ribosomal RNA is filed under the name Triticum aestivum (bread wheat). RNAcentral's name for it is "partial small subunit ribosomal RNA". The record is from RNAcentral. Lineage: Eukaryota; Viridiplantae; Streptophyta; Magnoliopsida; Poales; Poaceae.